AACGAACGCUUGCGGCAUGCCUAACACAUGCAAGUCGAACGAGCUCUUCGGGUCUAGUGGCGCACGGGUUCGUUACGCGGUGGAAUCUGCCCUUUGGUUCGGAAUAACAGUUGGAAACUUCUGCUAAUACCGGAUGAUGACGAAUGUGCAAUGAUUUAUCGCCAGAGGAUGAGCCCGCGUAGGAUUAGCUAGUUGGUGUGGUAAAGGCGCACCAAGGCGACGAUCCUUAGCUGGUCUGAGAGGAUGAUCAGCCACACUGGGACUGAGACACGGCCCAGACUCCUACGAGCAGCAGCAGUGGGGAAUAUUGGACAAUGGGCGAAAGCCUCACACAGCAAUGCCGAGAGAGCGAUGAAGGCCUUAGGGUUGUAAAGCUAUUUUACCAAGGAUGAUAAUGACAGUACCGGGAGUAUAAGCUCCGGCUAUCUCAAGGCCAGCCGCCGCAGUAA
This 449-nucleotide ribosomal RNA is filed under the name uncultured bacterium. Its description in RNAcentral is "partial 16S ribosomal RNA". It matches the Rfam family "Bacterial small subunit ribosomal RNA", at positions 29 to 523 of the family's 1533-position model. The record is from RNAcentral.